RNAcentral lists this ribosomal RNA (253 nucleotides) under uncultured bacterium. RNAcentral describes it as "partial 16S ribosomal RNA". It matches the Rfam family "Bacterial small subunit ribosomal RNA", at positions 524 to 776 of the family's 1533-position model. The record is from RNAcentral.
UACGUAGGGGGCUAGCGUUGCUCGGAAUUACUGGGCGUAAAGGGCGCGUAGGCGGCACUGUUAGUCAGGCGUGAAAGUCCUGGGCUCAACCUGGGAACUGCGCUUGAUACGGCAGAGCUAGAGGAUGGAAGAGGCUCGCGGAAUUCCCAGUGUAGAGGUGAAAUUCGUAGAUAUUGGGAAGAACACCGGUGGCGAAGGCGGCGAGCUGGUCCAUUACUGACGCUGAGGCGCGACAGCGUGGGGAGCGAACAGG